UGUACGUAAUUCGAGAAAGUAGCUAUUUUCGGAGAAAGUGACGUUAGCAAGUUAGCAAGAUCGUAGAUAGGUGCCUAGGAUUUCCGAGAGUAUAAAAGAAUUGGGCUCUACAAGCCGAAGAUAGGAGCAAAUUAUUGGACACCACAUUCAAGAUUGGAAAUCUCAUAAACAAAGGCGAAACAGACACACCAAGGAAAAUUGACCCCAGUUGUUUUGGAUCAACAAAAAGAGAUGGCAUCACAAACAAACCUGAAAAAAUGGACUCACUGGGCUUGCAACCACAGUAACGACUAUCACUACACAGGAGUCAGCUAUACGUGUGGGCAUUCCUUCACACUAUGUGAGACUUGCUAUCAUGCCUUUUCAAGAAACUGUCCCCUCGGUGACGGAGGGGAAAGUAGGCCUACUCCUGGAUUGGGUCGCAGAAGACGUGACGUAGAAGCCAAAUGGGGCACAACCUUCUUCCCAGCAAUGCCUGCCGGAGGGCUGUAGAUAACUGAACUGAAAGAAAACAUUAAUAAUGUAGAUAUUAUUAUAUUAUACUUUGUAAAGUGCAUAUUUAAUGAAUCAACAAAUGAA
Molecule: long non-coding RNA, 579 nt
Organism: Halichondria panicea
Lineage: Eukaryota; Metazoa; Porifera; Demospongiae; Suberitida; Halichondriidae
Exons: 3
Source: RefSeq, a predicted model, not a curated record